GGUGAUCAGUGGCGAACGGGUGAGUAACACGUGAGUAACCUGCCCUUCACUCUGGGAUAACUCCGGGAAACCGGGGCUAAUACCGGAUAUGACACCAAUCCGCAUGGGUAUGGUGUGGAAAGUUUUUCGGUGGAGGAUGGACUCGCGGCCUAUCAGCUUGUUGGUGAGGUAAUGGCUCACCAAGGCGACGACGGGUAGCCGGCCUGAGAGGGCGACCGGCCACACUGGGACUGAGACACGGCCCAGACUCCUACGGGAGGCAGCAGUGGGGAAUAUUGCACAAUGGGCGAAAGCCUGAUGCAGCGACGCCGCGUGAGGGAUUAAGGCCUUCGGGUUGUAAACCUCUUUCAGCAGGGAAGAAGCGCAAGUGACGGUACCUGCAGAAGAAGCACCGGCUAACUACGUGCCAGCAGCCGCGGUAAUACGUAGGGUGCGAGCGUUGUCCGGAAUUAUUGGGCGUAAAGAGCUUGUAGGCGGUUUGUCGCGUCUGCUGUGAAAUCUCAAGGCUCAACCUUGAGCUUGCAGUGGGUACGGGCAGACUAGAGUGUGGUAGGGGAGACUGGAAUUCCUGGUGUAGCGGUGAAAUGCGCAGAUAUCAGGAGGAACACCGAUGGCGAAGGCAGGUCUCUGGGCCACUACUGACGCUGAGAAGCGAAAGCAUGGGGAGCGAACAGGAUUAGAUACCCUGGUAGUCCAUGCCGUAAACGUUGGGAACUAGGUGUGGGCCUCAUUCCACGAGGUCCGUGCCGCAGCUAACGCAUUAAGUUCCCCGCCUGGGGAGUACGGCCGCAAGGCUAAAACUCAAAGGAAUCGACGGGGGCCCGCACAAGCGGCGGAGCAUGCGGAUUAAUUCGAUGCAACGCGAAGAACCUUACCAAGGCUUGACAUAUACCGGAAAAGUGCAGAGAUGUGCUCCCCGCAAGGUCGGUCUACAGGUGGUGCAUGGUUGUCGUCAGCUCGUGUCGUGAGAUGUUGGGUUAAGUCCCGCAACGAGCGCAACCCUCGUUCUAUGUUGCCAGCACGUGAUGGUGGGGACUCAUAGGAGACUGCCGGGGUCAACUCGGAGGAAGGUGGGGAUGACGUCAAAUCAUCAUGCCCCUUAUGUCUUGGGCUUCACGCAUGCUACAAUGGCCAGUACAAAGGGCUGCGAGACCGUAAGGUGGAGCGAAUCCCAAAAAAACUGGUCUCAGUUCGGAUUGGGGUCUGCAACUCGACCCCAUGAAGUCGGAGUCGCUAGUAAUCGCAGAUCAGCAACGCUGCGGUGAAUACGUUCCCGGGCCUUGUACACACCGCCCGUCAAGUCACGAAAGUCGGUAACACCCGAAGCCGGUGGCCUAACUCGCAAGAGGAGGAGCCGUCGAAGGUGGGACUGGCGAUUGGGACUAAGUCGGAACAAGGUA
RNAcentral lists this ribosomal RNA (1400 nucleotides) under metagenome. RNAcentral describes it as "bacterial SSU rRNA". It matches the Rfam family "Bacterial small subunit ribosomal RNA". The record is from RNAcentral.